RNAcentral lists this ribosomal RNA (811 nucleotides) under Uzbekistanica pruni. RNAcentral's name for it is "partial large subunit ribosomal RNA". It matches the Rfam family "Eukaryotic large subunit ribosomal RNA", at positions 87 to 917 of the family's 3401-position model. The record is from RNAcentral. Lineage: Eukaryota; Fungi; Ascomycota; Dothideomycetes; Pleosporales; Melanommataceae.
CGGCGAGUGAAGCGGCAAUAGCUCAAAUUUGAAAUCUGGCCCUUUCAGGGUCCGAGUUGUAAUUUGCAGAGGGCGCUUUGGCGUCGGCAGCAGCCUAAGUUCCUUGGAACAGGUCAUCAUAGAGGGUGAGAAUCCCGUAUGUGGCUGCUUGUCUUCGCCGUGUAAAGCCCCUUCGAUGAGUCGAGUUGUUUGGGAAUGCAGCUCUAAAUGGGAGGUAAAUUUCUUCUAAAGCUAAAUAUUGGCCAGAGACCGAUAGCGCACAAGUAGAGUGAUCGAAAGAUGAAAAGCACUUUGGAAAGAGAGUCAAAAAGCACGUGAAAUUGUUGAAAGGGAAGCGCUUGCAGCCAGACGUGCCCGCAGUUGCUCAUCCGGGGUUCUCCCCGGUGCACUCUUCUGUGGGCAGGCCAGCAUCAGUCCGGGCGGUCGGAGAAAGACCUGUGUCAUGUAGCUCUCUUCGGGGAGUGUUAUAGGGCAGGUGGAAUGCGACCAGCCUGGACUGAGGUCCGCGCAUCUGCUAGGAUGCUGGCGUAAUGGCUGUAAGCGGCCCGUCUUGAAACACGGACCAAGGAGUCUAACAUCUAUGCGAGUGUUUGGGUGUCAAGCCCGAGCGCGUAAUGAAAGUGAACGGAGGUGGGAACCCCUCGGGGUGCACCAUCGACCGAUCCUGAUGUCUUCGGAUGGAUUUGAGUAAGAGCAUAGCUGUUGGGACCCGAAAGAUGGUGAACUAUGCCUGAAUAGGGUGAAGCCAGAGGAAACUCUGGUGGAGGCUCGCAGCGGUUCUGACGUGCAAAUCGAUCGUCAAAUUUGGGCA